RNAcentral lists this ribosomal RNA (435 nucleotides) under uncultured bacterium. Its description in RNAcentral is "bacterial SSU rRNA". It matches the Rfam family "Bacterial small subunit ribosomal RNA", at positions 29 to 507 of the family's 1533-position model. The record is from RNAcentral.
AACGAACGCUGGCGGCAUGGCUUAACACAUGCAAGUCGAACGCUGUCGCAAGACAGAGUGGCGCACCGGGUGAGUAACGCGUGGGAAACUGCCCUUCUGUGCGGGACAACAUCUGGAAACGGAUGCUAAUACCGCAUACGCCCUACGGGGGAAAGGUCCGCCGCAGAGGGAGGUGCCCGCGUCCGAUUAGCUUGUUGGUGAGGUAAGAGCUCACCAAGGCGACGAUCGGUAGCUGGUCUGAGAGGAUGAUCAGCCACACUGGGACUGAGACACGGCCCAGACUCCUACGGGAGGCAACAGUGGGGAAUAUUGGACAAUGGGGGCAACCCUGAUCCAGCAAUGCCGCGUGUGUGAUGAAGGCCUUAGGGUUGUAAAGCACUUUCACUGGUGAAGAUUAUGACGGUAGCCAGAGAAGAAGCCCCGGCUAACUUCGUG